This 383-nucleotide transfer-messenger RNA is filed under the name Sphingomonas telluris. The stretch from base 1 to 344 matches the Rfam family "Alphaproteobacteria transfer-messenger RNA". Rfam says of the family: Bacterial tmRNA, also known as 10Sa RNA or SsrA, is named for its dual tRNA and mRNA-like properties. Its role is to liberate the mRNA from a stalled ribosome. The record is from RNAcentral. Lineage: Bacteria; Pseudomonadati; Pseudomonadota; Alphaproteobacteria; Sphingomonadales; Sphingomonadaceae.
AAACUUGUCCUUGCGAGCAGGAACGCCUAUCUUGGCUCCUGCCGGGGCAACCCGGCUAUGUCGGUAGAUUGUCGGGUGGAAUAGGCAUUUCGGACCCGGGGGGCAGUACCCCGGCGCCUCCACCACCAGCCGCCGUUUCGACGGUUGCUGAUGGGGGCGAAAUAGGAUCGACGAGUGCAAUAAAGGCCUGGUUGCCGAUCGGCUUGAGCCACCGUGACGGUUCAUUCACACAAGUGCCAACGAUAACGAGGCGCUCGCAAUUGCUGCGUAACUGACGGCCUAACGGUCUAAGUUACAAAGACAAAAGCGCGGUCGGACCCCACCGGGCAACAGAAGGGGAUUCCAGCGGCACGGGAGGCGCCGGGCAACAGAAGCCUCCCACU